This 253-nucleotide ribosomal RNA is filed under the name uncultured bacterium. RNAcentral's name for it is "partial 16S ribosomal RNA". It matches the Rfam family "Bacterial small subunit ribosomal RNA", at positions 524 to 776 of the family's 1533-position model. The record is from RNAcentral.
UACGUAGGGGGCUAGCGUUGUCCGGAAUUACUGGGCGUAAAGGGCUCGUAGGCGGCCAACUAAGUCAUACGUGAAAUCCCUCAGCUUAACUGGGGAACUGCGUGUGAUACUGGAUGGCUUGGAUUUGGGAGAGGGAUGCGGAAUUCCAGGUGUAGCGGUGAAAUGCGUAGAUAUCUGGAGGAACACCGGUGGCGAAGGCGGGAUCCUGGGCCAGUACUGACGCUGAGGAGCGAAAGCGUGGGGAGCAAACAGG